RNAcentral lists this ribosomal RNA (460 nucleotides) under uncultured bacterium. RNAcentral describes it as "partial 16S ribosomal RNA". It matches the Rfam family "Bacterial small subunit ribosomal RNA", at positions 338 to 795 of the family's 1533-position model. The record is from RNAcentral.
CCUACGGGAGGCAGCAGUGAGGAAUAUUGGUCAAUGGCCGGAAGGCUGAACCAGCCAUGCCGCGUGAAGGUCAGUGCCCUAUGGGCGUUAAACUUCUUUUGUGCGGGAGCAAUAAUGGUCACGUGUGGCCAGACGAGAGUACCGUACGCAUAAGCAUCGGCUAACUCCGUGCCAGCAGACGCGGUAAUACGGGGGAUGCAAGCGUUAACCGGAUUAACUGGGUGUAAGGGGUGCGUAGACUGUGAGGUAAGUCGGCGGUGAAAUGCCCCCGCUCAACGGGGUGAAGUGCCAUUGCUACUGCCUUGCUGGAAUGCGGAUGCCGUGGGAGGAAUGUGUGGUGUAGCGGUGAAAUGCAUAGAUAUCACACAGAACACCGAUUGCGAAGGCAUCUCACGAAUCCGCGAUUGACGCUGAUGCACGAAAGCGUGGGUAUCAAACAGGAUUAGAUACCCGAGUAGUC